GAUGAACGCUGGCGGCGUGCCUAACACAUGCAAGUUGAGCGAGAAAUCACUUAAAGAAGCUUCGGUAGACUUAAGAGAUGGAGAGCAGCGGACGGGUGAGUAACGCGUGGGAAACCUGCCCUUGACAGGAGGAUAGCCGAGAGAAAUUUCGAUUAAUACUUCAUAAAGCAGAGCAUUCGCAUGGAUGAACUGCCAAAGAAUUAUCGGUCAAGGAUGGUCCCGCGUCUGAUUAGCUGGUUGGUAAGGUAGCGGCUUACCAAGGCGACGAUCAGUAGCCGGCCUGAGAGGGUGAACGGCCACAUUGGAACUGAGACACGGUCCAGACUCCUACGGGAGGCAGCAGUGGGGAAUAUUGCACAAUGGGCGAAAGCCUGAUGCAGCAACGCCGCGUGAAGGAAGAAGGCUUUCGAGUUGUAAACUUCUGUCCAAAGGGAAGAAUAAUGACGGUACCUUUGAAGAAAGCCCCGGCUAACUACGUGCCAGCAGCCGCGGUAAUACGUAGGGGGCGAGCGUUAUCCGGAAUUACUGGGCGUAAAGAGUAUGUAGGUGGUUAAGUAAGCGUAGGGUUUAAGGCGACAGCCCAACUGUCGUAUGCCCCGCGAACUGUUUAACUUGAGUACAGGAGGGGAAGGCGGAAUUCCUAGUGUAGCGGUGAAAUGCGUAGAUAUUAGGAGGAACACCAGUGGCGAAGGCGGCCUUCUGGACUGUAACUGACACUGAGAUACGAAAGCGUGGGUAGCAAACAGG
Molecule: ribosomal RNA, 747 nt
Filed under: uncultured bacterium
Lineage: Bacteria
Description: bacterial SSU rRNA
Rfam family: Bacterial small subunit ribosomal RNA
Source: RNAcentral